ACACUCCUGCGGGAGGCAGCAGUGGGGAAUUUUGGACAAUGGGCGAAAGCCUGAUCCAGCAAUGCCGCGUGAGUGAAGAAGGCCUUCGGGUUGUAAAGCUCUUUUGUCAGGGAAGAAACGGUGAAAGCUAAUAUCUUUUGCUAAUGACGGUACCUGAAGAAUAAGCACCGGCUAACUACGUGCCAGCAGCCGCGGUAAUACGUAGGGUGCAAGCGUUAAUCGGAAUUACUGGGCGUAAAGCGUGCGCAGGCGGUUUUGUAAGUCUGAUGUGAAAUCCCCGGGCUCAACCUGGGAAUUGCAUUGGAGACUGCAAGGCUAGAAUCUGGCAGAGGGGGGUAGAAUUCCACGUGUAGCAGUGAAAUGCGUAGAUAUGUGGAGGAACACCGAUGGCGAAGGCAGCCCCCUGGGUCAAGAUUGACGCUCAUGCACGAAAGCGUGGGGAGCAAACAGGAUUAGAAACCCGUGUAGUCCCAUG
This 475-nucleotide ribosomal RNA is filed under the name uncultured organism. RNAcentral describes it as "partial 16S ribosomal RNA". It matches the Rfam family "Bacterial small subunit ribosomal RNA", at positions 333 to 799 of the family's 1533-position model. The record is from RNAcentral.